RNAcentral lists this ribosomal RNA (359 nucleotides) under uncultured bacterium. RNAcentral describes it as "bacterial SSU rRNA". It matches the Rfam family "Bacterial small subunit ribosomal RNA", at positions 28 to 374 of the family's 1533-position model. The record is from RNAcentral.
AAUGAACGCUGGCGGCGUGCUUAACACAUGCAAGUCGUGCGCGAAGGUGGCUUCGGCUGCCGGAGAGCGGCGAACGGGUGAGUAACACGUGGGUGAUCUGCCUGGGGGCGGGGGAUAACCUGGGGAAACGUCGGGCUAAUACCGCAUACGUUGGCGGGUUUACGGACUCGUCAAGAAAGCUGGCCUCUGCUUGCAAGCUAGCGCUCCCAGAGGAGCCCGCGGCUGAUAGCUAGUUGGUGAGGUAAUGGCUCACCAAGGCGACGAUCAGUAGCCGGCCUGAGAGGGUGAUCGGCCACACUGGGACUGAGACACGGCCCAGACUCCUACGGGAGGCAGCAGUCGGGAAUCUUGCCCAAUGG